AGUGAACGCUGGCGGUAGGCCUAACACAUGCAAGUCGAACGGCAGCACAGUAAGAGCUUGCUCUUACGGGUGGCGAGUGGCGGACGGGUGAGGAAUACAUCGGAAUCUACUUUUUCGUGGGGGAUAACGUAGGGAAACUUACGCUAAUACCGCAUACGACCUACGGGUGAAAGCAGGGGAUCUUCGGACCUUGCGCGAUUGAAUGAGCCGAUGUCGGAUUAGCUAGUUGGCGGGGUAAAGGCCCACCAAGGCGCCGAUCCGUAGCUGGUCUGAGAGGAUGAUCGGCCACACUGGAACUGAGACACGGUCCAUACUACUACGGGAGGCAGCAGUGGGGAAUAUUGGACAAUGGGCGCAAGCCUGAUCCAGCCAUACCGCGUGGGUGAAGAAGGCCUUCGGGUUGUAAAGCCCUUUUGUUGGGAAAGAAAAGCAGCAGGUUAAUACCCCGCUGUUCUGACGGUACCCAAAGAAUAAGCACCGGCUAACUUCGUG
RNAcentral lists this ribosomal RNA (492 nucleotides) under uncultured bacterium. RNAcentral describes it as "partial 16S ribosomal RNA". It matches the Rfam family "Bacterial small subunit ribosomal RNA", at positions 29 to 507 of the family's 1533-position model. The record is from RNAcentral.